CUGGCUCAGAUUGAACGCUGGCGGCAUGCCUUACACAUGCAAGUCGAACGGCAGCACGGGUGCUUGCACCUGGUGGCGAGUGGCGAACGGGUGAGUAAUACAUCGGAACAUGUCCUGUAGUGGGGGAUAGCCCGGCGAAAGCCGGAUUAAUACCGCAUACGAUCUACGGAUGAAAGCGGGGGACCUUCGGGCCUCGCGCUAUAGGGUUGGCCGAUGGCUGAUUAGCUAGUUGGUGGGGUAAAGGCCUACCAAGGCGACGAUCAGUAGCUGGUCUGAGAGGACGACCAGCCACACUGGGACUGAGACACGGCCCAGACUCCUACGGGAGGCAGCAGUGGGGAAUUUUGGACAAUGGGCGAAAGCCUGAUCCAGCAAUGCCGCGUGUGUGAAGAAGGCCUUCGGGUUGUAAAGCACUUUUGUCCGGAAAGAAAUCCUUGAUUCUAAUACAGUCGGGGGAUGACGGUACCGGAAGAAUAAGCACCGGCUAACUACGUGCCAGCA
RNAcentral lists this ribosomal RNA (501 nucleotides) under Burkholderia sp. S2.LIG.003. RNAcentral describes it as "bacterial SSU rRNA". It matches the Rfam family "Bacterial small subunit ribosomal RNA", at positions 19 to 513 of the family's 1533-position model. The record is from RNAcentral. Lineage: Bacteria; Pseudomonadati; Pseudomonadota; Betaproteobacteria; Burkholderiales; Burkholderiaceae.